UAGAGUUUGAUCCUGGCUCAGAACGAACGCUGGCGGCAGGCCUAACACAUGCAAGUCGAACGCUCCAGCAAUGGAGAGUGGCAGACGGGUGAGUAACGCGUGGGAACCUUCCCAGUGGUACGGAAUAGCCCAGGGAAACUUGGGGUAAUACCGUAUACGCCCUUACGGGGAAAGAUUUAUCGCCAUUGGAUGGGCCCGCGUCGGAUUAGCUAGUUGGUGGGGUAACGGCCUACCAAGGCGACGAUCCGUAGCUGGUCUGAGAGGAUGAUCAGCCACACUGGGACUGAGACACGGCCCAGACUCCUACGGGAGGCAGCAGUGGGGAAUAUUGGACAAUGGGCGAAAGCCUGAUCCAGCCAUGCCGCGUGAGUGACGAAGGCCUUAGGGUUGUAAAGCUCUUUUGGCGGGGAAGAUAAUGACGGUACCCGCAGAAUAAGCUCCGGCUAACUUCGUGCCAGCAGCCGCGGUAAUACGAAGGGAGCUAGCGUUGUUCGGAAUCACUGGGCGUAAAGAGCACGUAGGCGGAUGUGUCAGUCAGGGGUGAAAUCCCGGAGCUCAACUUCGGAACUGCCUUUGAUACAGCACGUCUUGAGUCCGAGAGAGGUGGGUGGAAUUCCUAGUGUAGAGGUGAAAUUCGUAGAUAUUAGGAAGAACACCGGUGGCGAAGGCGGCCCACUGGCUCGGUACUGACGCUGAGGUGCGAAAGCGUGGGAGCAAACAGGAUUAGAUACCCUGGUAGUCCACGCCGUAACGAUGGAUGCUAGCCGUCAGCAAGCAUGCUUGUUGGUGGCGCAGCUAACGCAUUAAGCAUCCCGCCUGGGGAGUACGGCCGCAA
RNAcentral lists this ribosomal RNA (835 nucleotides) under uncultured bacterium. RNAcentral describes it as "bacterial SSU rRNA". It matches the Rfam family "Bacterial small subunit ribosomal RNA", at positions 1 to 891 of the family's 1533-position model. The record is from RNAcentral.